UUCUGCGAACGUCGUUUCGAACUUGCUUGCUCUCUGAACGCCACUCGCCGACUUCUUACCCGCUGUUUGCCCGGUGGGGGUUAACUCACUCAGCGCUCGUGAGGGCCACCGUUUUUUGGAGAUUUUGAGAAGUCGGCGGAAAACUUUCAAAAAAAAAAAGAAAAGAAAAGAAAAAAGAGACUACAACCCGCGUUAGAAAUACAGCGGCGCGACUGAACUUCCAGCAGCAGUCCGAGGCGAGCAGCAGCGGCAGGAGGAGGAGUCAACAGGUCCCAGAGCUUAGGAGCCACAAUCGAUUCAAGGACGGCGAGAUUGACGUUUUUGGGAAGAAGGGCCUGCCCGAGCAAUCGAUGCAGGCAGUCCACCAACCGGAAGCCCAGUUGGCCGAACAGCACACCACUCAAUCAGUCUGAACAGCAACACCCAGGGUUUCUGGCAACCAACUGAGACAGAGGCUCUGCAACUGCGAACAGGGGGCCCAUUCAGGGAGAAGAGCUUUCUCCUGGCAUCAUGUGAUCUGCACUUUUCCUAGGAGCGCUCUGCAGUUGAAGAGUGGAAUGACGUCCCCGUGAAAGCAUCACAACCACUAGCACCCCCAUCACCACCAUUGCCGCUCCUGACUGUUGCCAUCAAAGUGCACCUCUUCUUGACUCAACUUGCCUCCUGUCUUUCUCUGCCUUCAUCUUCGAGAUAAGGAAUGGCCGCGUUACUUCCCAACGCCUCUUGCAAAUAAGACCGUUUCACAAUCCCAGAGAAAGGAAGGAUAAAACGCUCCACAUUCCUCCUUUAUACUUCGGCCCCAUUUUUCUUUUUUUUAAUCUUUUGUGUCCUUAGUAACUCAGCCCUUAACACACACACAGACACACUCACCCACAUACAUUUGCUAAACCCAAUAGGAUUUUGCGGCCAUUUUCAGGGCAACCUUGUCAACCUUAAGGAGAUAUUUUCUUUUUUCUUUUUUUCUUUUUUUUGCAAACUUUGCCUGUUGGAAUAUCUUCUUACCCAGCAUCCUUAUGGGGGAUUAAAUCCUUACAGGAAUCCAUACUGACUCCUGACUGUGGCGCUGUUGCCUCUCAGUGAGGGUUUUUUCUUUACCCCAGUGAGGUCUUUUCGUGACUUGUAGGUGGACUGAGCCAUCAUGGCUGGGAAGGGCAACCCGGUGCCGGGCCCCCACCUCAACGGCUUCCCCGUGCCCACCUACUCCUACUUUUUCCCCCACAUGUUGGGGAGCCUGUCGCCUCCAGCCCUGCCGGGACUGCCUCUCAGUGGAUACAGCACCCCCUCACCAGCCAGUAAGUAGAGUUUGAGCAACUUUUCAGUUUUCUCUGCGUUGGUUCGCGUUUUGCAUGUGGAAGUGUUUGAUGCUCUGGCUGUUGUGCAGGUUUUGAGUGACAGGAGGUAUGGAGAUUUACUUUCCUUUGUGCGUGUGUCCUGGUUUCUCUGCGCCGCUGUGGCUCACAGUUUCCGGUACAGCUCGCCUGCUGUGUGUAUUUGCGUACAUACUCGUAUGCUGGUUUAAACACUUUCAUCUCGUCCUGUUUAGAUCAUUCUUGUUUGAAAGGUGUGUGUGUAUGUGUGUGUGUAAGUGUGUGUUGGUAAACAGACACACACACACCCACAUGCCCAUGUCGCCUCCAGCUCUGUCCUUAAUUUACAAACCCACACACACGCAUUGCAACGUCAACAUAGAUCACAAGGAAAUGAGGCAGGACAACCAGAAAGGAGCAUUGUUCAUUUGGGGAACACACAUUUGGCAAGUGUUCCGAAAGUAAAUCUCGGAAAUACUGCCGCAGACAGCGUUCUUGUUAUAACUUCUUUAUUCAAUCCAUCAAAAGCUUCAGAGCGAACUGGCAGUGUUGCUUAUUAAAGUUGGACUUGGUGGAAAAAGUACUUGUUCAGAAGUAAAUAAAAGUGUUAGUGGUUUAUUAAUUCAGAAAAUGGAAUGGGAAAUAUGGUUAAUUGUGAACAGUGGUGG
Neolamprologus brichardi is the source of this 1975-nucleotide non-coding RNA. Lineage: Eukaryota; Metazoa; Chordata; Actinopteri; Cichliformes; Cichlidae. The record is from RefSeq and is a predicted model, not a curated record.